AGCGUAGGAGACAAACGUUAUCCGGAGUUACUGGGCGUAAAGGGCGUGUAGGUGGUUGUGUAAGUCUGGCGUGAAAUUUUUCGGCUUAACCGGGAAAGGUCGUCGGAUACUGCAAAACUAGAGGACGGUAGAGGCGUGUGGAAUUCCGGGUGUAGUGGUGAAAUGCGUAGAGAUCCGGAGGAACACCAGUGGCGAAGGCGACACGCUGGGCCGUACCUGACACUGAUGCGCGACAGCAUGGGGAGCAAACAGG
This 253-nucleotide ribosomal RNA is filed under the name uncultured bacterium. Its description in RNAcentral is "partial 16S ribosomal RNA". It matches the Rfam family "Bacterial small subunit ribosomal RNA", at positions 524 to 776 of the family's 1533-position model. The record is from RNAcentral.